This 191-nucleotide small nuclear RNA is filed under the name Betta splendens (Siamese fighting fish). RNAcentral's name for it is "U2 spliceosomal RNA (ENSBSLG00000000505.1)". It matches the Rfam family "U2 spliceosomal RNA". From Rfam's summary of the family: U2 is a small nuclear RNA (snRNA) component of the spliceosome (involved in pre-mRNA splicing). Complementary binding between U2 snRNA (in an area lying towards the 5' end but 3' to hairpin I) and the branchpoint sequence (BPS) of the intron results the bulging out of an unpaired adenosine, on the BPS, which initiates a nucleophilic attack at the intronic 5' splice site, thus starting the first of two transesterification reactions that mediate splicing. The record is from Rfam by way of RNAcentral. Lineage: Eukaryota; Metazoa; Chordata; Actinopteri; Anabantiformes; Osphronemidae.
AUCGCUUCUCGGCCUUUUGGCUAAGAUCAAGUGUAGUAUCUGUUCUUAUCAGUUUAAUAUCUGAUACGUCCCCUACCCGGGGACCAUAUAUUAAAUUGAUUUGUGGAGCAGGGAGAUGGAAUAGGGGCUUGCUCCGUCCACUCCACGCAUCGACCCAGUAUUGCAGUACUUCUGGGAACGGUGCACCCCCU